GAUGAACGCUGGCUACAGGCUUAACACAUGCAAGUCGAGGGGAAACGACGGGGAAGCUUGCUUCCCCGGGCGUCGACCGGCGCACGGGUGAGUAACGCGUAUCCAACCUGCCUCUGACUGAGGGAUAACCCGUCGAAAGUCGGCCUAAUACCUCAUGGUAUCGUCUGCGGGCAUCCAACGACGAUUAAAGAUUUCAUCGGUCAGGGAUGGGGAUGCGUCUGAUUAGCUUGUUGGCGGGGUAACGGCCCACCAAGGCUACGAUCAGUAGGGGUUCUGAGAGGAAGGUCCCCCACAUUGGAACUGAGACACGGUCCAAACUCCUACGGGAGGCAGCAGUGGGGAAUAUUGGUCAAUGGGCGAGAGCCUGAACCAGCCAAGUAGCGUGCAGGAAGACGGCCCUAUGGGUUGUAAACUGCUUUUAUGCGGGGAUAAAGUGAGGGACGUGUCCCUCAUUGCAGGUACCGCAUGAAUAAGGACCGGCUAAUUCCGUG
This 491-nucleotide ribosomal RNA is filed under the name uncultured bacterium. RNAcentral's name for it is "partial 16S ribosomal RNA". It matches the Rfam family "Bacterial small subunit ribosomal RNA", at positions 28 to 507 of the family's 1533-position model. The record is from RNAcentral.